Molecule: ribosomal RNA, 973 nt
Filed under: uncultured fungus
Lineage: Eukaryota; Fungi
Description: eukaryotic LSU rRNA
Rfam family: 5.8S ribosomal RNA (bases 435-633)
Source: RNAcentral
AAGUCGUAACAAGGUUUCCGUAGGUGAACCUGCGGAAGGAUCAUUCACUUGAUAGAAAGGCUUGUGUUGAAGCCUUUUUCUCUUUGUCUUAACCAAAGUGGGGGUUCUUGGAAUCACCACUGUGAUGCUUGUUGGGAUAAAUGAGGUCUUGAAUUGAAGCCCUUUGUGAUUGCUUUUAGGCAUAUCUGGCCUUAUCCAGCAAGAAAGGUUCAUGGUCAACCCAACUGUGAGUUUGGGGGAUGGACCGAUAGUGAUCAUAUAUCACUCAGUUUAUUGGUCAAGUUGAAAAGCAAUCCACUCUUGGGGGAAAAGAUAGGAUGUUGUGAGGGUUUGUGUAGCCCCAAACAUAUUUAUCUCUGGGAGUCCUCAAUGAGUUGGUAGAGAACUCGAGACAAUUUGUCCAUAUGAAUUUAUCAUAACAUGGGCUCAUUUACAACUUUCAGCAAUGGAUCUCUUGGUUCUCGCAUCGAUGAAGAACGCAGUGAAAUGCGAUAACUGGUGUGAAUUGCAUCCAAGUAACUCUAAUUUACGAAUAACACCAAGUGAAUCAUCGAGUCUUUGAACGCAAUUGCGCCCUCUCGGUCACUUCCAAUUGGGGGUUGACUCAUAGGGGGUACAUCUGUUCGAGGGUCAUUUGAACCUCUCAAAGGGUUUUCUAAUCCUUUGGAUUUGGGUCUUGCCGUGAAAUUCUAUCUUGGCUUACCUUGAAAGUAUCAGCAAGCUUUUUGGCACUUUGAAAGUCUUUUUGAAUGAGGGCGUUGUUAAUUUGGUCAGGCCCCUGGAGGGAUCUCAUUCUGCAAACUGGUCUGUGCAGCCAGUAUGAAUGUGAUAAACAAAAAACGUCUCAAUUCUAUGAAAAAAGUCUGAAACUUGCUUCCAAUGAUCCUUUGAGGAUAAUAUUAUAAGAGUUGUUGGGGGGCUCUUUCAAUGUAUCAAUGACCUCGAAUCAGAUGAGAAUACCCGCUGAACUUAA